AUUGAACGCUGGCGGCAUGCUUUACACAUGCAAGUCGAACGGCAGCGCGGGCUUCGGCCUGGCGGCGAGUGGCGAACGGGUGAGUAAUGCAUCGGAACGUGCCCAGUAGUGGGGGAUAGCCCGGCGAAAGCCGGAUUAAUACCGCAUACGACCUGAGGGUGAAAGCGGGGGACCGAAAGGCCUCGCGCUAUUGGAGCGGCCGAUGUCGGAUUAGCUAGUUGGUGGGGUAAAGGCUUACCAAGGCGACGAUCCGUAGCUGGUCUGAGAGGACGACCAGCCACACUGGGACUGCGACACGGCCCAGACUCCUACGGGAGGCAGCAGUGGGGAAUUUUGGACAAUGGGGGCAACCCUGAUCCAGCCAUGCCGCGUGCGGGAAGAAGGCCUUCGGGUUGUAAACCGCUUUUGUUCGGGAAGAAAUCCUCUGGGCUAAUACCCCGGGGGGAUGACGGUACCGGAAGAAUAAGCACCGGCUAACUACGUG
RNAcentral lists this ribosomal RNA (484 nucleotides) under uncultured bacterium. RNAcentral's name for it is "partial 16S ribosomal RNA". It matches the Rfam family "Bacterial small subunit ribosomal RNA", at positions 28 to 507 of the family's 1533-position model. The record is from RNAcentral.